Molecule: ribosomal RNA, 403 nt
Filed under: uncultured bacterium
Lineage: Bacteria
Description: partial 16S ribosomal RNA
Rfam family: Bacterial small subunit ribosomal RNA
Source: RNAcentral
AUUGAACGCUGGCGGCAGGCCUAACACAUGCAAGUCGAACGAGUGGCGGACGGGUGAGUAAUGUCUGGGAACUGCCUGAUGGAGGGGGAUAACUACUGGAAACGGUAGCUAAUACCGCAUACUAUCGGAUAACCCAUAUGGGAUUAGCUAGUAGGUGAGGUAAUGGCUCACCUAGGCGACGAUCCCUAGCUGGGCUGAGAGGAUGAUCGGCCACACUGGUACUGAGACAAGGACCGGACGCCUACGGAGGCAGCAGUGGGGAAUAUUGCACAAUGGGCGCAAGCCUGAUGCAGCCAUGCCGCGUGUAUGAAGAAGGCCUUAGGGUUGUAAAGUACUGUCAGUAGGGAGGCGUUACCGACAGAAGAAGCACCGGCUAACUCCGUGCCAGCAGCCGCGGUAAUAC